Maniola jurtina (meadow brown) is the source of this 69-nucleotide long non-coding RNA. RefSeq lists it as uncharacterized. The record is from RefSeq and is a predicted model, not a curated record. The transcript has 3 exons. NCBI's taxonomy places the organism in Eukaryota, Metazoa, Arthropoda, Insecta, Lepidoptera, Nymphalidae.
ACAGACUUUUGAGAACAUCUGAGAGAACUCUGAGACAUACAGGUUUCCUCACGAUUCCUUCAAUGUUAA